CAGUCGCCGCGGGAAUACAGAGGGUGCAAGCGUUAAUCGGAAUUACUGGGCGUAAAGCGCGCGUAGGUGGUUUGUUAAGUUGGAUGUGAAAUCCCCGGGCUCAACCUGGGAACUGCAUCCCAAACUGGCAAGCUAGAGUAUGGUAGAGGGUGGUGGAAUUUCCUGUGUAGCGGUGAAAUGCGUAGAUAUAGGAAGGAACACCAGUGGCGAAGGCGACCACCUGGACUGAUACUGACACUGAGGUGCGAAAGCGUGGGGAGCAAACAGGAUUAGAUACCCCGGUAGUCCCUGUCUCUUAUAC
This 301-nucleotide ribosomal RNA is filed under the name uncultured bacterium. Its description in RNAcentral is "partial 16S ribosomal RNA". It matches the Rfam family "Bacterial small subunit ribosomal RNA", at positions 509 to 807 of the family's 1533-position model. The record is from RNAcentral.